This 61-nucleotide microRNA precursor is filed under the name Caenorhabditis brenneri. RNAcentral describes it as "microRNA cbn-mir-7630 precursor". Lineage: Eukaryota; Metazoa; Nematoda; Chromadorea; Rhabditida; Rhabditidae. The record is from miRBase by way of RNAcentral.
UUGAUGAUGCUGAAUGUAACCCUUAAAAUGAGCAUUAAGGUUACACUCAACAUCGUCGAAG